UGGGGAAUUUUGGACAAUGGGCGCAAGCCUGAUCCAGCCAUGCCGCGUGCAGGAUGAAGGCCUUCGGGUUGUAAACUGCUUUUGUACGGAACGAAAAGGUGCCUUCUAAUAAAGGGCGCUCAUGACGGUACCGUAAGAAUAAGCACCGGCUAACUACGUGCCAGCAGCCGCGGUAAUACGUAGGGUGCGAGCGUUAAUCGGAAUUACUGGGCGUAAAGCGUGCGCAGGCGGUUUUGUAAGACAGAGGUGAAAUCCCCGGGCUCAACCUGGGAACUGCCUUUGUGACUGCAAGGCUGGAGUGCGGCAGAGGGGGAUGGAAUUCCGCGUGUAGCAGUGAAAUGCGUAGAUAUGCGGAGGAACACCGAUGGCGAAGGCAAUCCCCUGGGCCUGCACUGACGCUCACGCACGAAAGCGUGGGGAGCAAACA
This 427-nucleotide ribosomal RNA is filed under the name uncultured bacterium. RNAcentral's name for it is "bacterial SSU rRNA". It matches the Rfam family "Bacterial small subunit ribosomal RNA", at positions 355 to 774 of the family's 1533-position model. The record is from RNAcentral.